Molecule: ribosomal RNA, 924 nt
Filed under: Triticum aestivum (bread wheat)
Lineage: Eukaryota; Viridiplantae; Streptophyta; Magnoliopsida; Poales; Poaceae
Description: partial small subunit ribosomal RNA
Source: RNAcentral
AUGGUGGCCCAUGGCGAUGUUCUUGGGCAGCGCGGCGCGCAUCUUGCUGGUCGGCGCCUCAAAGUCCGGGGUGACGAGCACGAAGCAGAGGCGGAGCGCCGGCGGGCAAGGCAGCGACACGAGGCAGAAGGGAUCGUAGCUCCGCACCAUCACGAACCCGCCGAGGAUGGCCGGCGCGAUGUUGUCGGCGUGGAAGCCGCUGACGGCCUUCUCGGACUCGAGGCCGGCGAGCACGAGGCCGUCGCGGGGGAGCAGGGAGCCGAAGAGCGCGUCGACGGCCUUGGCGGCGGCGGCGGCGGAGGCGGCCGAGGAGCCGAGCCCGGAGCCGAGCGGCAGGCCCUUGGCGAGGCUGAGGGAGACGCCGUGCGAGCGGACGCCGAGGGCCCGCAGCGCGGCGACGGCGGCGAUGCCCGCGCAGUUGCGGAGCGGGUCGCGGGAGAGGCGGUCGGCGAGGCGGGGGCGGGCCGGGGACGUGAUGCCGGAGAUGGCGACCGUGCCGGCGGGCAGCGAGGGGUCGAGGGUGGCCGUGACGGUGUCGCCGAGGGAGAGCGAGGCUUCGGCGACCGCGCAGCCCAGGAAGUCGAAGCCCGGGCCGAGGUUGGCCACCGUCGCCGGCGCGAACGCCGUGACGGACCGGAAGGCCGGGGCCGGGUCGGAUGGCGGCGCGGCGGUGGCUCUGAGCUUGGUCGAGACGCGGAAGGAGAGGAGAGUGGGCUUGUGGACGCGGGUGGAGGGGAAGGAGGAGGGCGCGGUGGCCGUCGCCGCCGCCGCCAUUGUGGGGGGUGGCUGGGCGUGGGUGGGUGGGGUGGGGUUUGGGGGAAAAGGUUUGACCUUUGCGGGCGCGCACGGGGCGGGGCGGGCUUGGGCUUUGGGUGGGAACACUACCUCCAAGAGCGGCUGACAGGUGUGGCCCGUCUCCACUAG